GCGUUGUUCGGAAUUACUGGGCGUAAAGGGCGCGUAGGCGGCCUGCUAAGUCGAACGUGAAAUCCCCGGGCUCAACCCGGGAACUGCGUCCGAUACUGGCAGGCUUGAAUCCGGGAGAGGGAUGCGGAAUUCCAGGUGUAGCGGUGAAAUGCGUAGAUAUCUGGAGGAACACCGGUGGCGAAGGCGGCAUCCUGGACCGGCAUUGACGCUGAGGCGCGAAAGCCAGGGGAGCAAACGGG
RNAcentral lists this ribosomal RNA (239 nucleotides) under uncultured bacterium. RNAcentral describes it as "partial 16S ribosomal RNA". It matches the Rfam family "Bacterial small subunit ribosomal RNA", at positions 538 to 776 of the family's 1533-position model. The record is from RNAcentral.